Myotis lucifugus (little brown bat) is the source of this 189-nucleotide non-coding RNA. NCBI's taxonomy places the organism in Eukaryota, Metazoa, Chordata, Mammalia, Chiroptera, Vespertilionidae. The record is from Rfam.
AUCGCUUCUCGGCCUUUUGGCUAAGAUCAAGUGUAGUAUCUGUUCUUAUCAGUUUAAUUCUUCAAUCAACUUGCUUACUAAACUUACCAGUUUCUUAGCUUCUGCUCCACUCUUUAUUUUGUGUGGGUACUUUGCUAUCACAGAUGCUGCUUUUCUAUAAAAAAAAGAAAAGAAAUUAGAAAUCCACUA